GAUGACCGCUGGCGGCGUGCUUAACACAUGCAAGUCGAACGAAGCUGCUUAACUGAUCUUCUUCGGAAUUGAUGUUUUGUAGACUGAGUGGCGGACGGGUGAGUAACGCGUGGGUAACCUACCCUGUACAGGGGGAUAACAGUCAGAAAUGACUGCUAAUACCGCAUAAGACCACAGCACCGCAUGGUGCAGGGGUAAAAGCUCCGGUGGUACAGGAUGGACCCGCGUCUGAUUAGCUGGUUGGUGAGGUAACGGCUCACCAAGGCGACGAUCAGUAGCCGGCUUGAGAGAGUGAACGGCCACAUUGGGACUGAGACACGGCCCAAACUCCUACGGGAGGCAGCAGUGGGGAAUAUUGCACAAUGGGGGAAACCCUGAUGCAGCGACGCCGCGUGAGUGAAGAAGUAUCUCGGUAUGUAAAGCUCUAUCAGCAGGGAAGAAAAUGACGGUACCUGACUAAGAAGCCCCGGCUAACUACGUGCCAGCAGCCGCGGUAAUACGUAGGGGGCAAGCGUUAUCCGGAAUUACUGGGUGUAAAGGGUGCGUAGGUGGUAUGGCAAGUCAGAAGUGAAAACCCAGGGCUUAACUCUGGGACUGCUUUUGAAACUGUCAGACUGGAGUGCAGGAGAGGUAAGCGGAAUUCCUAGUGUAGCGGUGAAAUGCGUAGAUAUUAGGAGGAACAUCAGUGGCGAAGGCGGCUUACUGGACUGAAACUGACACUGAGGCACGAAAGCGUGGGGAGCAAACAGGAUUAGAUACCCUGGUAGUCCACGCCGUAAACG
This 782-nucleotide ribosomal RNA is filed under the name uncultured bacterium. RNAcentral's name for it is "bacterial SSU rRNA". It matches the Rfam family "Bacterial small subunit ribosomal RNA", at positions 28 to 808 of the family's 1533-position model. The record is from RNAcentral.